GAUCAUGGCUCAGAUUGAACGCUGGCGGCAUGCCUUACAUAUGCAAGUCGAACGGUAACGCGGGGCAACCUGGCGACGAGUGGCGAACGGGUGAGUAAUAUAUCGGAACGUGCCCAGUAGUGGGGGAUAGCCCGGCGAAAGCCGGAUUAAUACCGCAUGAGACCUGAGGGUGAAAGCGGGGGAUCGCAAGACCUCGCGCGAUUGGAGCGGCCGAUAUCAGAUUAGGUAGUUGGUGGGGUAAAGGCUCACCAAGCCAACGAUCUGUAGCUGGUCUGAGAGGACGACCAGCCACACUGGAACUGAGACACGGUCCAGACUCCUACGGGAGGCAGCAGUGGGGAAUUUUGGACAAUGGACGCAAGUCUGAUCCAGCCAUUCCGCGUGCAGGAUGAAGGCCCUCGGGUUGUAAACUGCUUUUGUACGGAACGAAAAGGUUUGUCUUAAUACGAUGAGCUCAUGACGGUACCGUAAGAAUAAGCACCGGCUAACUACGUG
This 495-nucleotide ribosomal RNA is filed under the name uncultured bacterium. Its description in RNAcentral is "bacterial SSU rRNA". It matches the Rfam family "Bacterial small subunit ribosomal RNA", at positions 15 to 507 of the family's 1533-position model. The record is from RNAcentral.